CAGGGGAUAGUUUAAGUAGAAUGUCAGCUUUGGGUGCUGAUGGUGGGGGUUAUUUCCUCUCCCUUGA
Non-coding RNA from Leptonychotes weddellii (Weddell seal), 67 nucleotides. The record is from the annotation of a RefSeq genome assembly. NCBI's taxonomy places the organism in Eukaryota, Metazoa, Chordata, Mammalia, Carnivora, Phocidae.